AUCAGCUGCUCUAAAGAAAAUAGUGAUUGAUCUGAGGAGGGUCCUCUUCCUUUCAUCUUUAAAGGGGAUGUUCCAGCAUUGGAGCGAUCCAACGCUAGAGCAUCCGAUCUUUCUCGAACCUCAACUCGAGGGAUAGGAAGAUGGGGCGAGGAAAUGAGCAGGGGGUUGGAAUGAGAGGGAUCAGGAAAGAGAUAGGAGAGAGAGCAUCAAGAGAAAAGAGAGAGAGAGAGUAAUAAAAAAAUCGA
Molecule: long non-coding RNA, 245 nt
Filed under: Ananas comosus (pineapple)
Lineage: Eukaryota; Viridiplantae; Streptophyta; Magnoliopsida; Poales; Bromeliaceae
Description: long non-coding RNA (ACOM_LNC009273)
Source: RNAcentral